UGGCUGGAUACCAAGAAGCGGCCUCCCAAGAAUUUUCACGUAUCUGUACAGCACUGCAAAGAAUCCUCCUGAGCUAGAUAGACCUAAUACUGAAGGGGUAACUAUGGAGUAUCACAUCUGUUGGAGAGAAUGGCCUUCAAGAGCACAGUGAAUCGGACCCACUUACGGUUAGUUCGUGAGGUAGAAGCCAUUGGAGGAAAUGUCUCUGCAUCAGCUUCCCGUGAACAAAUGAGCUAUACAUAUGAUGCAUUGAAGAGCUAUACACCAGAAAUGGUUGAAGUUCUCAUUGACAAUGUGAGGAAUCCAGCAUUCCUUGAUUGGGAGGUCAAAGAGCAGUAUCUGACCGAGAACAAUUAUUUCGUGAUGAUUAGGGUAAUUGGGCUGCCCGGUGUAGGCAAGUCAACCAUCAUGAACGAGCUUUAUUAAUAUGAUGCAAGCUACCUGGUUUGGUGGUAAUGCUUAUGUGAUUGGUGAUUCUGCAAAGCAUAAGCAGAAGUGGCACGUCUACUAUGCCACCACUGAGCACCCC
Molecule: long non-coding RNA, 529 nt
Organism: Zea mays
Lineage: Eukaryota; Viridiplantae; Streptophyta; Magnoliopsida; Poales; Poaceae
Exons: 3
Source: RefSeq, a predicted model, not a curated record